GACGAACGCUGGCGGCGUGCCUAAUACAUGCAAGUCGAGCGAAGUUUUUCUGGUGCUUGCCCUAGAAAAACUUAGCGGCGAACGGGUGAGUAACACGUAAAGAACCUGCCUCAUAGACUGGGACAACUAUUGGAAACGGUAGCUAAUACCGGAUAACAGUAUUUCUCGCAUGAGAGAUAUUUAAAAGUUGGUUAUGCUAACACUAUGAGAUGGCUUUGCGGUGCAUUAGCUAGUUGGUGGGGUAAAGGCCCACCAAGGCGACGAUGCAUAGCCGACCUGAGAGGGUGAUCGGCCACACUGGGACUGAGACACGGCCCAGACUCCUACGGGAGGCAGCAGUAGGGAAUCUUCCGCAAUGGGCGAAAGCCUGACGGAGCAACGCCGCGUGAGUGAAGAAGGAUUUCGGUUCGUAAAGCUCUGUUGUUAGGGAAGAAUGGAUAUGUAGUAACUAUACAUGUAAGAGACGGUACCUAACCAGAAAGCCACGGCUAACUACGUG
RNAcentral lists this ribosomal RNA (499 nucleotides) under uncultured bacterium. RNAcentral describes it as "partial 16S ribosomal RNA". It matches the Rfam family "Bacterial small subunit ribosomal RNA", at positions 28 to 507 of the family's 1533-position model. The record is from RNAcentral.